UACAGAGGGUGCAAGCGUUAAUCGGAUUUACUGGGCGUAAAGCGUGCGUAGGCGGCUCGCUAAGUCGGUUGUGAAAUCCCUGGGCUUAACCUGGGAACUGCAGUCGAUACUGGCGGACUAGAGUACGGUAGAGGGUGGCGGAACUCCGGGUGUAGCGGUGAAAUGCGUAGAUAUCCGGAAGAACACCGAUGGCGAAGGCAACCACCUGGGCCUGUACUGACGCUGAGGCACGAAAGCGUGGGGAGCAAACAGG
RNAcentral lists this ribosomal RNA (253 nucleotides) under uncultured bacterium. RNAcentral describes it as "partial 16S ribosomal RNA". It matches the Rfam family "Bacterial small subunit ribosomal RNA", at positions 524 to 776 of the family's 1533-position model. The record is from RNAcentral.